Non-coding RNA from Ostreococcus tauri, 71 nucleotides. Lineage: Eukaryota; Viridiplantae; Chlorophyta; Mamiellophyceae; Mamiellales; Bathycoccaceae. The record is from Rfam.
GCGGAUAUAGAUUAAUGGUAAAUUUUCUGUCUUCCACACAGACUAUAUGGGUUCGAUUCCCAUUAUCCGCU